RNAcentral lists this ribosomal RNA (314 nucleotides) under Ammoniphilus sp. CFH 90114. Its description in RNAcentral is "Bacterial small subunit ribosomal RNA". It matches the Rfam family "Bacterial small subunit ribosomal RNA", at positions 59 to 369 of the family's 1533-position model. Lineage: Bacteria; Bacillati; Bacillota; Bacilli; Caryophanales; Paenibacillaceae. The record is from Rfam by way of RNAcentral.
AAGUCGAACGGUAACAGGAAGCAGCUUGCUGCUUUGCUGACGAGUGGCGGACGGGUGAGUAAUGUCUGGGAAACUGCCUGAUGGAGGGGGAUAACUACUGGAAACGGUAGCUAAUACCGCAUAACGUCGCAAGACCAAAGAGGGGGACCUUAGGGCCUCUUGCCAUCGGAUGUGCCCAGAUGGGAUUAGCUAGUAGGUGGGGUAACGGCUCACCUAGGCGACGAUCCCUAGCUGGUCUGAGAGGAUGACCAGCCACACUGGAACUGAGACACGGUCCAGACUCCUACGGGAGGCAGCAGUGGGGAAUAUUGCAC